CCCGCAGGCUGAUAAUCACUUACCACACUCGCGAUUAUAUUGAGAAGACAAUGAGAAGUGCCUACUUCAACACGAGUGCAAUGACCUCCUGAAGCCCCAAGGUGCAUUGCCUCACCCCAGCUCAGAAUAUUCCUUUUCUGUCUCUGAGCCUCUUGUGCAUGUGGGGUCUCUGACUCUCUCAUGUACGUGGGAUCCCCAUACAUAUGUACGUAUUAAAUUUGGGUUAUUUUCUCUGGC
Molecule: long non-coding RNA, 237 nt
Organism: Myotis lucifugus (little brown bat)
Lineage: Eukaryota; Metazoa; Chordata; Mammalia; Chiroptera; Vespertilionidae
Exons: 2
Source: RefSeq, a predicted model, not a curated record